CCUUCACGAAGUCGGAAUUGCUAGUAAUGGCAGGUCAGCAUACUGCCGUGAAUACGUUCCCGGGCCUUGUACACACCGCCCGUCACACCAUGAGAGUUGGAAAUACCCGAAGCCUGUGAGCUAACAGUAAUGAGGCAGCAGUCGAAGGUAGAGCCAAUGAUUGGGGUGAAGUCGUAACAAGGUAUC
This 186-nucleotide ribosomal RNA is filed under the name uncultured bacterium. Its description in RNAcentral is "partial 16S ribosomal RNA". It matches the Rfam family "Bacterial small subunit ribosomal RNA", at positions 1315 to 1500 of the family's 1533-position model. The record is from RNAcentral.